CCUACGGGAUGCAGCAGUGAGGAAUAUUGGUCAAUGGCCGGAAGGCUGAACCAGCCAAGCCGCGUGAAGGACGAAGGUGCCAAGCAUUGUAAACUUCUUUUGUCAAGGGACAAAAUCAGGCUCGAGAGCCUGACCGCGGGUACUUGAAGAAAAAGCAUCGGCUAACUCCGUGCCAGCAGCCGCGGUAAUACGGAGGAUGCGAGCGUUAUCCGGAUUUCUGGGGGUUAAAGGGUGCGUAGGCGGACUGUUAAGGCAGCGUGAAAGGCCCGGGGCUCAACCCCGGCGAGCCGUUGAAACUGUCUGUCUUGAGAUGUGGAGAGGUAUGCGGAAUGCGCAGUGUAGCGGUGAAAUGCUUAGAUAUUGCGCAGAACACCGAUUGCGAAGGCAGCAUACCGGCGGCGAUCUGACGCUGAGGCACGAAAGCGUGGGUAUCGAACAGGAGUAGAUACCCCAGUAGUC
Molecule: ribosomal RNA, 459 nt
Filed under: uncultured bacterium
Lineage: Bacteria
Description: partial 16S ribosomal RNA
Rfam family: Bacterial small subunit ribosomal RNA
Source: RNAcentral